CUUGGUCAUUUAGAGGAAGUAAAAGUCGUAACAAGGUCUCCGUUGGUGAACCAGCGGAGGGAUCAUUACUGAGUUUACGCUCUACAACCCUUUGUGAACAUACCUAUAACUGUUGCUUCGGCGGGUAGGGUCCCCGUGACCCUCCCGGCCUCCCGCCCCCGGGCGGGUCGGCGCCCGCCGGAGGAUAACCAAACUCUGAUUUAACGACGUUUCUUCUGAGUGGUACAAGCAAAUAAUCAAAACUUUUAACAACGGAUCUCUUGGUUCUGGCAUCGAUGAAGAACGCAGCGAAAUGCGAUAAGUAAUGUGAAUUGCAGAAUUCAGUGAAUCAUCGAAUCUUUGAACGCACAUUGCGCCCGCCAGCAUUCUGGCGGGCAUGCCUGUUCGAGCGUCAUUUCAACCCUCAAGCUCUGCUUGGUGUUGGGGCCCUACAGCUGAUGUAGGCCCUCAAAGGUAGUGGCGGACCCUCCCGGAGCCUCCUUUGCGUAGUAACUUUACGUCUCGCACUGGGAUCCGGAGGGACUCUUGCCGUAAAACCCCCCAAUUUUCCAAAGGUUGACCUCGGAUCAGGUAGGAAUACCCGCUGAACUUAAGCAUAUCAAUAAGCGGAGGA
RNAcentral lists this ribosomal RNA (613 nucleotides) under fungal endophyte sp. g24. RNAcentral describes it as "eukaryotic LSU rRNA". The stretch from base 241 to 394 matches the Rfam family "5.8S ribosomal RNA". The record is from RNAcentral. Lineage: Eukaryota; Fungi.